This is a non-coding RNA of Thermoplasmatales archaeon SM1-50, 315 nucleotides long. Lineage: Archaea; Methanobacteriati; Thermoplasmatota; Thermoplasmata; Thermoplasmatales. The record is from Rfam.
GUGUAGACUAGACCGGGGAGCUAGGCGUUCCCUGUCACCAGAAAUCGCCGAUAUGCUGGAGUCGAACUUGCGAGGCGGUGUAACGAGUAUCUCGUGAUCCGUUUGUUGCCUAUGACACCUUGUCCUUUGGGAUCAGAGGUGAUAACCGUAUAUGACCGGAGGGUCAUGUGCCUAUCUUUGCUGUGGAAAUCGGGUGAGGCACGGAAGUGAGCAGCCUUACCACAGACUGCCGAUGCUCAGAGGGUUAACGGGGUUGAGAAUGCAGACGGGUAGUCACCUGUAUACCACGUGCACCCACUUAAAAGACGUCUACAC